RNAcentral lists this ribosomal RNA (389 nucleotides) under uncultured bacterium. Its description in RNAcentral is "bacterial SSU rRNA". It matches the Rfam family "Bacterial small subunit ribosomal RNA", at positions 29 to 420 of the family's 1533-position model. The record is from RNAcentral.
AUUGAACGCUGGCGGCAUGCCUUACACAUGCAAGUCGAACGGUAACGCGGGGCAACCUGGCGACGAGUGGCGAACGGGUGAGUAACGCAUCGGAACGUGCCCAGUAGUGGGGGAUAGCCCGGCGAAAGCCGGAUUAAUACCGCAUACGACCUCAGGGUGAAAGCGGGGGAUCGCAAGACCUCGCGCUAUUGGAGCGGCCGAUGUCAGAUUAGGUAGUUGGUGGGGUAAAAGCCUACCAAGCCUGCGAUCUGUAGCUGGUCUUAGAGGGCGACCAGCCACACUGGGACUGAGACACGGCCCAGACUCCUACGGGAGGCAGCAGUGGGGGAAUUUUGGACAAUGGGCGAAAGCCUGAUCCAGCCAUGCCGCGUGCGGGAAGAAGGCCUCGG